Molecule: ribosomal RNA, 860 nt
Filed under: uncultured bacterium
Lineage: Bacteria
Description: bacterial SSU rRNA
Rfam family: Bacterial small subunit ribosomal RNA
Source: RNAcentral
GCAGUCGAGCGAAGCACUUAGGAAAGAUUCUUCGGAUGAUUUCCUAUUUGACUGAGCGGCGGACGGGUGAGUAACGCGUGGGUAACCUGCCUCAUACAGGGGGAUAACAGUUAGAAAUGACUGCUAAUACCGCAUAAGACCACAGCACCGCAUGGUGCAGGGGUAAAAACUCCGGUGGUAUGAGAUGGACCCGCGUCUGAUUAGUUAGUUGGUGGGGUAACGGCCUACCAAGGCGACGAUCAGUAGCCGACCUGAGAGGGUGACCGGCCACAUUGGGACUGAGACACGGCCCAAACUCCUACGGGAGGCAGCAGUGGGGAAUAUUGCACAAUGGGGGAAACCCUGAUGCAGCGACGCCGCGUGAGCGAAGAAGUAUUUCGGUAUGUAAAGCUCUAUCAGCAGGGAAGAAAAUGACGGUACCUGACUAAGAAGCCCCGGCUAACUACGUGCCAGCAGCCGCGGUAAUACGUAGGGGGCAAGCGUUAUCCGGAUUUACUGGGUGUAAAGGGAGCGUAGACGGAGCAGCAAGUCUGAUGUGAAAACCCGGGGCUCAACCCCGGGACUGCAUUGGAAACUGUUGAUCUGGAGUGCCGGAGAGGUAAGCGGAAUUCCUAGUGUAGCGGUGAAAUGCGUAGAUAUUAGGAGGAACACCAGUGGCGAAGGCGGCUUACUGGACGGUAACUGACGUUGAGGCUCGAAAGCGUGGGGAGCAAACAGGAUUAGAUACCCUGGUAGUCCACGCCGUAAACGAUGACUACUAGGUGUCGGGUGGCAAAGCCAUUCGGUGCCGCAGCCAACGCAAUAAGUAGUCCACCUGGGGAGUACGUUCGCAAGAAUGAAACUCAAAGGAAUUGACGGGG